Molecule: ribosomal RNA, 379 nt
Filed under: uncultured bacterium
Lineage: Bacteria
Description: partial 16S ribosomal RNA
Rfam family: Bacterial small subunit ribosomal RNA
Source: RNAcentral
CCUACGGGAGGCAGCAGUAGGGGAUAUUGCACAAUGGGGGAAACCCUGAAGCAGCAACGCCGCGUGGAGGAUGAAGGUUUUAGGCUUGUAAACUCCUUUUGUGAGGGAAGAUAAUGACGGUAUCUCACGAAUAAGCCCCGGCUAACUCCGUGCCAGCAGCCGCGGUAAUACGGAGGGGGCAAGCGUUACCCGGAAUCACUGGGUGUAAAGAGUGCGCAGACGGGCUUGUAAGCCAGAUGUGAAAUCCUGUAGCUUAACUCCAGAACUGCAUUUGAAACUAUGAGUCUAGAGUGUGGGAGGGGUAGGUGGAAUUCUUGGUGUAGGGGUAAAAUCCGUAGAUAUCAAGAGGAAUACUCAUUGCGAAGGCGACCUACUGGAA